This 5589-nucleotide long non-coding RNA is filed under the name Gossypium barbadense (sea-island cotton). RNAcentral describes it as "long non-coding RNA (GBAR_LNC006139)". Lineage: Eukaryota; Viridiplantae; Streptophyta; Magnoliopsida; Malvales; Malvaceae. The record is from RNAcentral.
UUAAAACCCCUUUUGAAAAAAUAAACAAGAAACGUAUGGGGAAACAAAAAGUCAUCAGAAAACUUAAUUACCCUCAUAUCAAUCCCAUCAAAACCUCUUCAAUACCCCGAUGUACAUUGAAAGAUCAAAACCCAUUGGAACUCUCAGCAAAAUCAAAAUUUCAGAAAACUUUCUCCAACUUCUUCAUCUCUUCUUCCCCAAACCUCACCCACGACCUCCAUCCUCCUCCUGUCUUCAGCCAUCGCCUCCACCGCACCAAGAGGUACCAUAUUUGUCAGGUAAGUAGAUUCUCUUUUCUUGAGUCCUUCUUGUGCUAAACAAUGGGCAACUCUGUUAGCCUCCCUGUUUGUGAAAAGGAAAACACAAAGAUUAAAUUGACAGCAGAGAUACUGAGCAUCUUUGAUAUACCCAGAAAUUUUCGAUCUAUCCUCCGUUUUCUCUUGCAGUUUCCUGAUGAUCGUUCGAGAAUCACCUUCAACCUCAAUCUCCCUCAACCCAAGUUGUAACCUCAGCUUCAGUACCUGAAGACACGCUACUGCUUCUGCAGAAAAAACAGACGGUAUGUUCAAGUUCAUCUCCGUUUUACAACAGAUAAUCUCUGCUUUACUAUUACAAAUCACUACCCCAGAGCACGACUCUUUGGUGUGGUUGUUGAAAGCUGUGUCAAAGUUCACUUUCAAUCUGGAUCCAUCGGCGCAGACCAUCUGUCAACACAGAUCCGUCUUCCAGGUAUAGCACUUUUUAGAUCAUCAAGUUCCUUUAAAUAUACUUGCACAAAACUUGCAAUCUGACUGCCAGUUUAGUUUACCCCAUCAUGAAUGAAUUUGUUCCGAGCCAUCCGUAACGCCUAUAAAGCGCAGACAAUCAUUCUACACAAAGCCAUGGGUCUAGUCUCAAAGGUAUUUUUCAACCAAUCUGUAAAUACUGAAUUGUCAUCCAAUCUAGCCCAUGCCAUAUGUAAAUGUUCCCAUAUAUCUUUUGCAGGAGGACAUGCCCAGAAAAUAUGCUCCCUUGUUUCAGCUCCUGUUAGACACCUUCUACACAUGAGGGAAGCCAUCAUUCUGCGAUAAUGAAGAUUACUAAAACUAGGCAUAUAGUUACAAAGUAUUCUCCAUAUUGUAAUUUUGAUUUUAGGGUGUAGAUUCAUUUUCCAUAAUUUCUUGUAAAUUUGCUUGUGGUCUGAAUGUAAUUGAUCCCGACCUAAUUGUAAAAGAAGUCUGUGACCACUUCGGACCGAGAAUUCUCCUGACGACUCACCCCUCCAUACAAGAGUGUCUUCAUGCUCAAACAAAGGAAGAGGAAUACAGAGGAUCCUUUUUGCAGUCUGUUCAUCAAAGGUAAAACUGAUCAGAUCAGACUUCCAAUUUUUAGAACUGGCAUCAAUAAGAUCCACAACUUUGAUGAGACUCUGAUUAUUAUUCAUAUUCUGAAUUCUGAGAUUAUCAUCUCCAGGUAUCCAAACAUCAUCCCAAAUGGAAGCUUUCUGACCAUUGCCAAUCCGCCAACCCAAACCUUUCAAGAGGAGGCCCCUCGCGGCCCAGAUACUCUGCCAGGCAAAAGAAGGUAGCCUCCCUAAACUGGAGUUUAAAAAAUCCCCAUCUUUAAAAUACCGAGCUUUCGAAGUAUGCGCUAGUAAAAAAUUAGGAUUAUUUAACAGGCAUCAACCUUGUUUAGCCAAUAAAGCAGUAUUAAAAGAACUCAAAUGACGAAAUCCGAUACCACCUUUCUCCUUAGGCGCACAUAAGGAUUUCCAAUUACACCAAUGCAUCCCCCGCCUAUUAUGAUUAUUCCUCCCCAAAAUGAGCUCAUAAUAUUUUCCAGUUCCACACAAAGCGAUUUCGGUAAAAGGAAACAAUCCAUCGAAUAUAUGGGAAUAGACUGUAAGACAGCCUUGAUAAAAACCUCUCGACCUCCUUGUGAAAUAUGCCUAAUACUUCAGUUAUUAAUUUUCUGCAUCAAACGAUCUUUCGACUUUUGAAAAAUCAUUUUCUUCUUACGACCCACCACAUUGGGAAGUCCAAGAUAACUUUCUAGAUCAGUCGAGCUACGAACAUGAAGCGCCUGAAACACCUUACUCUUGUCUUGAUCCUUCACAUUUGUGCUGAAAAAGACCGUAGAUUUUUCAUAAUUAACGCACUGACCCGAACAAGACUCAUACUCUCCAAGAAUUUCUUUCAGCACAUGAACCAUCUGAUUUGAUACAUCUUCGAACAGGAUACAGUCAUCAGCAAACAUCAGAUGAGUUAUAGGUGGGGCCAAUCUGAAAACUUUAGCUCCAUGAAUCUUUUUAUCCCGACUUGCCAACCUCAUUAGCGCAGAAAGCACUUAUCCACAAAACAAGAAGAGAUAGGGGCUUAAAGGAUCCCCUUGAUGCAAGCCCCUAGAAGGUUUGAAACUUAAGCCUUCUGCCCCAUUAGUUAGAAUGGAAUACUGAACAGAAUUAACACAACAGAUAAUAAACUCCAUAAACCGUUCGUCGAAUCCCAUUUUUGACAUUAUGCUUUUAAUGAAAGGCCACUUCACUCUAUCAUAGGCCUUGCUCAUAUCGAGUUUUAAAGCCAUGAAUCCCUUUUUCCCGUAUCUCUUGUUUUUAAAUGAAUGAAGCACCUCAUAUGCCAUGAGUCUACCAGGAACGAAAGCACUUUGAGAGUUAUCGAUGCAAGCAUGUAAAACCUUUUGAAGCCGAUUAGCAACAGUUUUUGCAAUGAUCUUAUAAAUAACAGUGUAUAGACUAACGGGACGAAAAUUCUUAAGAUUGCUAGGACUGGCAGUCUUGGGAAUCAGCACUAUUUGUGUUUUGUUUAUAUCCCCCACAGAUUUCCUGUUAUUCAGAAUGUCUAAACAAUAUAUGCAAAUGUCCUUACCAAUAAUAUGCCAGAAUUUCUGGUAGAAAUUGCUGGAAAGCCAUCAGCACCCGAAGCUUUGGUAGGUCCCAUGCCCUUCAACGCCUAAACUAUUUCGUCCUCCUUAUAAGUGGCCAACAAACUUUGGUUCAUUUGAUCUGAUACGAACAAAUGUACUUUGGAGAGAAUGUCCCAAAUCCCCAAUUCCUCUAGAGGCAAAAUGUAACGCCCCUAGCCUUAUACCGUCAUUGGAAUAGGGUUACGAGACAUUACCAGUUAGUACAGUCUAAUUUCGGUCAUUAAUUAAAAUAAAUAGUUACACACAUUAUAAUUUUAAGAUGUCUCUUUAAUGGGCCCUCGCGGUCCAAUAUGAACAGUUAAUUUUAAAAUUCAUUCUACAUACCGUUGCCAACCAUAAUUUACUCAUUUCAUGAGUACAUCUACAACCUAAAUGACUCUCAUAAAACAUCUUAAGUACAUGCCAUUACUAAUAAUUAACACACUUUACCUUAAUGAAUUCGGGAUCGAACUGGGAUGCUGAUUCAACGUUCUAUCUUUAUUAAACCUGCGCACGGAAACAAAUCGUAUGCUGAGUAUGGUAUACUUAGUGGUAUUUCCAUAAACCGAACACUUAAUAAUAUAACAAUUAAACUGAAAAUUACAAUAACAAUUAUAAGUAUUCAUUUAUUUGUUUUAUAGAUAAAUUUUCAAUUACUUAUCAUAUAAAUUCUAUACAAGUCAUAUAGCAAAAAUAAUAACAUAUUUGUUUAAUUCUUUUUAUUUACUUACCGUAUAAAUUCUAUACAAUAUAUUCAUAAUUCACUUGUUUUCAUAUUUUAUUUCUUAACAAUAUACUAUUUUAAUUCAUUUUAACAUCAAUCAUCAUCCUUUUGAACUUCACUCAUUUCAUGAACCUUUUGGUUCAUGUUUUCAAUCUCAUAUAUCAAUUUCAAUUCUCAAUUCAAUUUCUCAUUUCAUUCCAAUAGCUCAAUCAAUCAAAUUCACUCGACUUAUCUUUUCACUUAUUUAUCCCUAUUAACAAGACUCGGACCUUGGCGGAUACACGGAUCCAACCAAACACACCAAUAUGGCACCCAGUGCCUUAUCGGAUAGUUCGAAGCAAUAUUUGACAUCCAGUGUCUCAUCGGCCUAGUCGAAGUAAAGUUGGUACCCAGUACCUCAUCGAAUCUAUCCGAAGAAAUAUAGUGACACCUAGUGUUUCAUCGACUCGAGGUCGAAGAAUCCCUGAACACUUCCAAUCCUAUGGCAUGCCAACUAUAUCCGACUCAGCCCGAUACUGUUAAUAGGGUAUUCAAUUCACUUUCAAUUUUUUUCAAUCAAUACACAUUUUAAUUAAUCACAUAAAUUCAUAAUUCAAUACAAUUCAAUUCACUUUUCAAUAACAAAUAUCCAAAUAUCACAAAUCUCAUAUUUAAAAUUUUCAAACAAUUUAUAUUUCAAUUCAAUUCAAAUAAUCAAUAUAAAUUUAAUAAUUUCAUCACAUACUAUAUCAAUCCAUUUCAUUUGCAAAACACUAUUUCACUAAAAAAUAAAUUCAAGCCGUAAUUUUCGAGCUAACUCCCGUUGACUUUGUCUUGUCCUUUCUUAGCCGAGAUUUUUGGUACCACAUUGACUACGAAAUUAAUACAAUUUAUAAUCGUUAAUACAUUACUAAUUCAUAUCUUGAGUUAUAGAAUUCUAAAUUAAGAUCCGCUAAUUUUUCUUGAAACUAGACUCACAAAUCUUUUUAUAAUAAAAUUUUCAGAAUUUUUGGUUUAGCCAUUAAGUACAGUUUAUUUUUUAAAUUCACCCCUAUUCUGCUGUUUGACAGUUUCGUCCCUUCUUCACUAAAAAAUAAUUAUCUCACAGUACAGAAAUCGGAUAACAUUCUCGUUGAUUUCUAAUGAAAAUAUACUCAUUAGGGAUUCUAAACAUAUAACUUUAAGCCUCUAAUUAUUUUUAUUAAAUUUUUGGUGAUUUUCCAAAGUCAGAACAGGGGAACCUGAAUUCAUUCUGACCUUGUCUCACAAAAUUUAUUAUAUCUCAUAAUUUACAAUUCAAUUGCUUAUAUCGUUUCUUCUAUAAGAAAAUAGACUCAAUAAUAUUUAAUUUCAUAUUUUAUUCAUCCUCUAAUUCAAUUUCUAUAAUUUUUGGUGAUUUUUCAAACUUAAACUACUACUGCUGUCCAAAAUAGUCUUAGUACAAAAUGUUGAUUUACUUUAAUUUUAAUUUAAUUCUAACUAAAUUCACUUACUUUUCUAUCUUAAUUCAUACUUUAUUUCUAUUCAAAUUUCAUCCAUACUCAUUUAAAUAUUAAAUUUCCAGCAUACUUUCUUAAUUUCAAAAUUUCAUCAAUUUAGUCCCUACAACAUAAAACUUAUAACUUACUUUACAAUUUGAUCCUAUUAUCAAUUCUAGAUUGAAAUUUACUCAAUUAAACCCUUAAUUCACUAUUUUAUUCAACAUGAACUAUACUUGAAAAUCUAUAAACUCUCAAAAUAUCAACUUAAUUUCAUCAAAGUCUUGUUCCAAAGCUUCUAAAAUAUUAAAAUUUAAGAAGAAAUGACUUAAUUGACUUACCAAACUUGAAACCUUAAUUUUCCUUUUUCUUUUUCUUUCUUUCUUUCUUCCCUGUUUCUUCUCUGUUUUGUUUGCUUUCAUUCUGUUUCUUAUGUUUCUUUACUUAUUUAUAUAAUAUAAUAUAUAAUAUAAUAUACUAUAAUAUAAUAAUAAUUUAAUAUAUAUA